UACGAGGGGGGCGAGCGUUGUUCGGAGUUAUUGGGCGUAAAGGGUGCGUAGGCGGUUUGGUAAGUCUUAUGUGAAAUCUAUGGGCUCAACUCAUAGUCUGCAUGAGAAACUGCCGGGCUUGAGUAUGGGAGAGGUGAGUGGAAUUCCUGGUGUAGCGGUGAAAUGCGUAGAUAUCAGGAGGAACACCUGUGGCGAAAGCGGCUCACUGGACCAUAACUGACGCUGAUGCACGAAAGCUAGGGGAGCAAACAGG
Molecule: ribosomal RNA, 253 nt
Filed under: uncultured bacterium
Lineage: Bacteria
Description: partial 16S ribosomal RNA
Rfam family: Bacterial small subunit ribosomal RNA
Source: RNAcentral